CCUACGGGAGGCAGCAGUGGGGAAUAUUGGGCAAUGGACGCAAGUCUGACCCAGCGACGCCGCGUGAGGGAUGAAGGCCUUCGGGUUGUAAACCUCUUUCAGUGGGGAAGAAGCGAAAGUGACGGUACCCAAAGAAGAAGCACCGGCUAACUAUGUGCCAGCAGCCGCGGUAAUACAUAGGGUGCAAGCGUUGUCCGGAAUUAUUGGGCGUAAAGAGCUCGUAGGUCGUUUGACACGUCGGAUGUGAAAAUCUGAGGCUUAACCUCAGACCUGCAUUCGAUACGGUCAAACUAGAGUGUGGUAGGGGAGACUGGAAUUCCUGGUGUAGCGGUGGAAUGCGCAGAUAUCAGGAGGAACACCAAUGGCGAAGGCAGGUCUCUGGGCCAUUACUGACACUGAGGAGCGAAAGCGCGGGGAGCGAACAGGAUUAGAUACCCUGGUAGUCCGCGCCGUAAACGGUGGGCACUAGUUGUGGGAACCUUCCACGGUUUCCGCGACGCAGCUAACGCAUUAAGUGCCCCGCCUGGGGAGUACGAUCGCAAGAUUAAAACUCAAAUGAAUUGACGG
This 567-nucleotide ribosomal RNA is filed under the name uncultured bacterium. RNAcentral's name for it is "bacterial SSU rRNA". It matches the Rfam family "Bacterial small subunit ribosomal RNA", at positions 338 to 916 of the family's 1533-position model. The record is from RNAcentral.